UCAGAUGGCUGUACGUUUUACCACAAGGUC
Molecule: non-coding RNA, 30 nt
Filed under: Homo sapiens (human)
Lineage: Eukaryota; Metazoa; Chordata; Mammalia; Primates; Hominidae
Source: RNAcentral